AUCCUUAGCUGGUCUGAGAGGAUGAUCAGCCACACUGGGCCUGAGACACGGCCCAGACUCCUACGGGAGGCAGCAGUGGGGAAUAUUGGACAAUGGGCGAAAGCCUGAUCCAGCAAUGCCGCGUGAGUGAUGAAGGCCUUAGGGUUGUAAAGCUCUUUUACCCGGGAUGAUAAUGACAGUACCGGGAGAAUAAGCUCCGGCUAACUCCGUGCCAGCAGCCGCGGUAAUACGGAGGGAGCUAGCGUUGUUCGGAAUUACUGGGCGUAAAGCGCACGUAGGCGGCUUUGUAAGUUAGAGGUGAAAGCCUGGAGCUCAACUCCAGAAUUGCCUUUAAGACUGCAUCGCUUGAAUCCAGGAGAGGUGAGUGGAAUUCCGAGUGUAGAGGUGAAAUUCGUAGAUAUUCGGAAGAACACCAGUGGCGAAGGCGGCUCACUGGACUGGUAUUGACGCUGAGGUGCGAAAGCGUGGGGAGCAAA
This 476-nucleotide ribosomal RNA is filed under the name Sphingomonas sp. RNAcentral's name for it is "bacterial SSU rRNA". It matches the Rfam family "Bacterial small subunit ribosomal RNA", at positions 279 to 772 of the family's 1533-position model. The record is from RNAcentral. Lineage: Bacteria; Pseudomonadati; Pseudomonadota; Alphaproteobacteria; Sphingomonadales; Sphingomonadaceae.